This 460-nucleotide ribosomal RNA is filed under the name uncultured bacterium. RNAcentral describes it as "partial 16S ribosomal RNA". It matches the Rfam family "Bacterial small subunit ribosomal RNA", at positions 338 to 795 of the family's 1533-position model. The record is from RNAcentral.
CCUACGGUGGGCAGCAGUGAGGAAUAUUGGUCAAUGGACGAGAGUCUGAACCAGCCAAGUAGCGUGAAGGAUGACUGCCCUAUGGGUUGUAAACUUCUUUUACAUGGGAAUAAAAUGUUCCACGUGUGGGAUUUUGUAUGUACCAUAUGAAUAAGGAUCGGCUAACUCCGCGCCAGCAGCCGCGGUAAUACGGAGGAUCCGAGCGUUAACUGGAUUUUUUGGGGUUAAAGGGAGCGUAGGUGGAUUGUUAAGUCAGUUGUGAAAGUUUGGGGCUCAACCGUAGAAUUGCAGUUGAAACUGGCAGUCUUGAGUACAGUAGAGGUGGGCGGAAUUCGUGGUGUAGCGGUGAAAUGCUUAGAGAUCACGAAGAACUCCGGUUGCGAAGGCAGCUCACUGGACUGCAACUGACACUGAGGCUCGAAAGUGUGGGUAUCAAACAGGAUUAGAUACCCGGGUAGUC